RNAcentral lists this long non-coding RNA (1097 nucleotides) under Ananas comosus (pineapple). RNAcentral describes it as "long non-coding RNA (ACOM_LNC031288)". Lineage: Eukaryota; Viridiplantae; Streptophyta; Magnoliopsida; Poales; Bromeliaceae. The record is from RNAcentral.
AAUUAUUUAUUAAUAUUUCUAAAUAUAUAACUUUUAUAUAUUAUUAAUAUAUGUUUAUUAUAAUUUUGAAUAUAUUUAAUCUAUAUAUAAAAAUUAUAAUAAUAAUAUAUAUAGUAUAUUAAUUAUUAUAUAUUUAUUAUAUAGCCGAAUUUUUUAUUCCGAAUUUUUAAUUGGUGAACGUAUAAUAUCCGUAUAAAUCAUGUAUCCGAAUAAUUAUCGAAUCCGUUUUUUAGCCGUAUUUUUCAACGAAUUUAAAAAUUAAAAGACGAAUUUUAUCCGAAUUAUUCCCGUACCGAAUUUUUGCCGAAUCCGAAUUAACUAACUAUGAUGAUGAAGAGAGAGGAAGCAAAGUGUUUGUGAGAGAAGGUUUUGAAUGGUUUAUUUUGGAAUGAACCAAUUCAGAAUUCAAAGCUGGAUUAUGUUAUAAAUGGGAUAAGUCGUUUCUAGUUUAGAGUGGAAAGAAAAUCGAAAUUUGAUUUUUAUAAAAUAAACAAUAACUAUCGAAAUCAGAAUAAAAUCUAGAAUUUCGAGAGAGGAUUUCGGUUAAUAAAAAAGAGAGUGAUGAAGAGAGAAGAUGCAAAGUGUUUGUGAAAGAGGAUUUUGAGUGGUUUAUUUUGAAAUGAAUCAAUUCAAAAUCCAAAGCUGAAUUGGGCUAUAAAUGGAAAAAGUCAUUUCUAUUUUACAAUGAAAUGAAAAAUUAAAAUUUUAUUUCUGUAAAAUAAACAAUAAUUAUCUGAAUCAAUAAAUUUUAUUUCGAGACAACUACAUGUAUCGAGCAAAUAAGAUUAGAUGAUUGGGACAGAGGCGUGGCAUAUGACGCGUGAAAGACUUUUUUCUUUCUUUCUUUUUUUUUUUUUUGGUUUUAUAGUGUGAAAAGGGCAAAAUCAAUAAAUUCAACCUGGUAGUGCAAGUGUGGGACCUUCUUUUCCCUAGUUAGUGUUUGUUUGUUUGUUUGUUUUUUUUUUUUCACCGUGCCGUCCGGUGUCCCCGUUGCCCCACCCUUAUACCUAGUUUAUGUUUUCAAUGAAUAAAGCAGGUAGCUUGCUAUCUUUCUCUCAAAAAAAUAAUAAUAAAUUCAACCUAUUGAACUAUAUAUA